AUGGAACCAUCGCAAGGCCCAGAAAGCGACCGGAUCGAAUCGCUUGCCGACGAAGCAAAUCGCCGAGGCGAAGGAAGGAAGGAGACCGACGCGACUGUUAUCCACCUGUCCACCCUCCUCGUAGCGACCAGAGACACGCACUCAUUUCUUUCUCAGGACUACACAUAUCGGAGAAACCGAGGCCCCCCUUCCAGCCGCGCGAGCAACUUCUUCCACUUCGAUCGAUCCAGAAAGAGAGUGGUUCCGAUGGGGCUGCAGUGGAUGCUCCUGACGUGCGUGGUGGGGGCGGAGGCGGCGGUGGCCGCGCUGCUCACGCUCCCGGCGCCGCGGGCCGUGCGGGCACAGAUCGUCGGGCUCACCUCGAUGCUUCUGCAGCCCAUGGCCGCCGUGCUCCCCUUCGCCGCCUUCCAGCUACUCGAUAUCUACUGGAAGAACGAGCACAGGCUGAUUUGCACGGGGGAGAUGUGCACCUCCGAGGAGCGUGUCCGCUUCGAGAAAUCCGUGAAUUUUCAAGUCCCAGAGGAAUGUCAUCCUUUGUGUUUCAGUAUUUAUCCUUUAUUGGUCCAUCUAUCGCAUUUGCAAGUUCAACAAGGACAUCAAGGCACUGGAGGAGGUUGA
This 618-nucleotide ribosomal RNA is filed under the name Triticum aestivum (bread wheat). RNAcentral's name for it is "partial small subunit ribosomal RNA". Lineage: Eukaryota; Viridiplantae; Streptophyta; Magnoliopsida; Poales; Poaceae. The record is from RNAcentral.